CCACUCUCAGGGUUGCACCUGGAGAGUUUCUAGUACUCUACCAGUCUCGACUACGGAGGAAGAGUCAAGCAGAGGCAUAUCCAAUUCAUUCCUAGCUUGGGCAGUGGCUAGCAAGUGGAAGAUAAUCUGCUACAAGU
Molecule: small nucleolar RNA, 137 nt
Filed under: Ornithorhynchus anatinus (platypus)
Lineage: Eukaryota; Metazoa; Chordata; Mammalia; Monotremata; Ornithorhynchidae
Source: RNAcentral